Lolium perenne is the source of this 1802-nucleotide non-coding RNA. The record is from RefSeq and is a predicted model, not a curated record. NCBI's taxonomy places the organism in Eukaryota, Viridiplantae, Streptophyta, Magnoliopsida, Poales, Poaceae.
CCCAUUAGCUGUCGACCAGAUCGUGGGUGGGCAUUCCUGUUCGUUCUUCCACCACGAGAGAGGUUCCGCCGCCGCCGUGUCCAUCCCAACUCCGGUGCCACGACGGUGGACAACGGCUCCUCGGCCUCCACCCUCACCAUCGCGCGGAGGAUCUCAGCCUCUCCAUCCCCAUUCCCAUCCCGACUACGCCGUCUGCGCCGCGGUCGGCGUCCGGGUCGUCGUGGCGGAGGAUCUCGGCCUCUCCAUCCCCAUUACCGUCCCCACUCCGCCGUCUGCGCCGCGGUCGGCGUCCGGGUCGUCGUGGCGGAGGAUCUCGGCCUCUCCAUCCCAUUCCCAUCCCGACUCCGCUAUCUGCGCCGCGGUCGGCGUCCGGGUCGGCCUCCCUCAAUAAUAUAUCUUACUUUUGCUCAGGGAGCUUUCAACCAUUUUUGGUGGUCACCUUGAUGAGCAAUUUCGUCAGGUGGAGGACUUGCAGGAUGAAGCUAGUCCUAAUUUUGUGGAAGAAGUUGCUGUGUUGUUUUUCAAAGAUUCAGGCAGGCUAAUAUCAAACCUUGAGCAAGCUUUGGAGAAGUACCCCAGAGAUUUCAAUAGGUGGGAUGCAUACAUGCAGCAACUGAAAGGCAGCUGUUCCAAGUAACUACACAAUUGGUUCUUGAUAUCUUUGUUCACUUGCCUAUGAGGGAUGUAGUGCGAAAGAUUCAGCAUCAUCGGCCUUCAGCUUCAUUCUUUUGCAUACCACAAGAACUAUCAUGACUUUGAGUUUAGCUAGGCAUGUAGGGAAGCUGGCACACCCUUUCUGGAACCAUAUUUUUUGUUCUUCAAAUGAAGGCUAAGAGUACUUAACUAAUUGUCUUCAUUUCUCUGGCUUAAGCACUCUUGAUUUCUGGGAAAUGCUGUUGAAUGAAAGCAUGACUCUGGACUGUUAUGUGUUUGGUAAUAAAUUUGAUCUAGCAUUGACAUUUGACAACUCGAUGCAUCAUUGGUGCUUCUAGGAUGAAGAGUGAAUGCAUGUCAUUCAAAGAUAACUGUGGGAAAGGAAAUGUUGAAGGAGCAUGCUGAAGCAAGGUGAUCCUGAAAAGAUUAUGGAUGGCACUGAUUUCUACCCUGACGAUGACGAAGACCUGAGCCGCAAGCAUAAGUUUAAGACCUGGCGUGGCAAGAUCGACGACACAGGUGGAUUGGAAGUAUUGGAUGGGCCAGAACCAGAGAAAUAGGCUACCUGGUGCCGGCGAUGCAGGACCGGGCCGAUCCGCUGGUGGCGGCGGCCGCCCACGAUGCAGGAUGGCGGCGGUUGCCCUAGAUGCAGGAGGACGGGGUGUCGAUGGCGGCAGCGGUCUCCACGCGGGACGAUGGGAUCUCGAGGGUGUCGACGGAGGCGGCGGUUGCGCUCCGCGCAGGACGACGCCGAGGGGAUGCCGUGAUGGCGGUGGCGGUCACACGACGGAGGCUGGCGAGGGUGUUGACGGAGGCUCGCGAGGGUGUCGACGGAGGCGACGGUUGCGCUCCGCGAAGGACGACGCCGACGGGAUGGCGGCGGCGGUCACGCUCCAGGGAGAACGCGAUGUUGAGGGAGGCCGGCGACUGCUCUCGUGAUGGAGCCUGCCGACUUCUCUCCUGCUGGGCCAAUUGUUGGGCCCGUUUCGGGACAGCUAAUUUUUCUUUCCGAUGGUGUACUUGUUGAUGGGCUGUCGGGCCGUUUAAUCCUGACUGUUGACUAAUCAUACCUCUUCCCUUACCAGCUGUGGUAAAAGGUACUGUAAAAGAAGCCUUUUUCUAGCACAAACACGAAAAAAUGUGACGAA